CAUGUAGGCGGUCUGUCAAGUCUGAUGUGAAAGCCCGGGGCUCAACCCCGGAAGUGCAUUGGAAACUGGCAGACUUGAGUACGGGAGAGGAAAGUGGAAUUUCGAGCGUAGGGGUGAAAUCCGUAGAUAUUCGAAGGAACACCAGUGGCGAAGGCGGCUUUCUGGACCGAUACUGACGCUGAGAUGCGAAAGCGUGGGGAGCAAACAGGAUUAGAUACCCUGGUAGUCC
RNAcentral lists this ribosomal RNA (229 nucleotides) under uncultured bacterium. Its description in RNAcentral is "partial 16S ribosomal RNA". It matches the Rfam family "Bacterial small subunit ribosomal RNA", at positions 568 to 796 of the family's 1533-position model. The record is from RNAcentral.